Molecule: long non-coding RNA, 2045 nt
Filed under: Nicotiana benthamiana
Lineage: Eukaryota; Viridiplantae; Streptophyta; Magnoliopsida; Solanales; Solanaceae
Description: long non-coding RNA (NBEN_LNC009368)
Source: RNAcentral
UUGGUUCACUACUACAUCCUCAUUCAUGGAUGCUAAGUAAAAUCAUAAACUAUGCUAUAUUAAUCUAAACCAAUGAAGUUAAAAUUCACAUACAGUCCAGUGUUUUUUAUAAGUUUUACAGACAUUACAUAUUAGAAACGAUACCGAAAGGGAAAUUACACUCAUAAUACAAAAUUGAUAUAUAGAAACAUUAUUGUCUUCAUUAUAAGCUCAAUAAUCUCGAACGUACAUAGCUACUGCUUCUCAGAUUUUAAGUGAAGAUGGAUACCUGGAAUUUCAGCAAAAAUGGAACCUAUGAGUAAGGUUAAGAGAGUAGCAAGGAAACACAACAGCCACACAACCAGCAAAGACCCAGGAACUCAUGAAAUUUGAUAGGCAAAUAGUGACAAUAUAUCUCUAAAACAACCCAUAACUUGUAUCGAUUGUUAAGGAAAAUUUACUCAAAAGAAACAACUCGAAGAGAAUUUUCUGAAUAGUGUAUGAAGGUCUAAGGUGUAUUCUAUUCUGACUCUCUAAGAGCCUGAAAAAAAUCCCUAAUCCUUUUCAAAAAUCUGCUCGAAAAUAAUCCAAAAACAUCUCUUUGAAAUGAUCAGAUUGUCCCCUUUUAUAACUGAAACCUUAGGGCAACAUUCAUUUCUUUGUUUUCCUUUUAGCCGCUUAUCUAUUUUUCAGUUUUGCCUAACUGGUCCUUGGUUUUCUGACUUGUGCCUCAAGUUUGAGGCAGAAGCUAUAUUUAGACCCCUCAUUAGAAUGUUCUAGGAGUUUGUUACAAGAUUUCAUAUAUUCAAAUUCCCUUAAUACCCCUGUCCCUUUUCCUAAUUACUGUCCUGAUGGUUUUUAAUCUUGGUUCCCAUCUAUUUGGUCAAAAUUUACCUUAAUUAGUUGCUUCAGGUUAUAGACCAAAAUCAAGGUCUGAACUACAGACUCAAAUAAACAAUCAAAGAGUUUAAAAAUUAAUCAAUGCGACUCAUGGAUUCAAGCAAGUAUAUCAAUGUGGAUUUUACACUACUCAGUAACAAGGGACAAACCAAUUAUCACAACUUUCAGAAUCAUAUAAAUACUCAUGGAAAACUAAGACACCUAAUGGGUGGGCAUGCAUCUUUUUAUACAGCAAAACCAAUGAACCAAAACAAUCAGAAACGAAACCCAAUCAACUAUACAGGAUUUAUAAAGAUGACCAAAUUACAACACUCAGCAGAGAACUAAAGGCAAGUAAUGGGUAACAGAUAUUAAACACUCAGGAUAUACAUAAAUAAAAACCCAAGAAAUUAAAACAAGACUGGAAUCAGAAGUUAAAACAUUCAGAAAACAAACUUAGCCUAUCAAAUGCAAAUACAGAAGAUCAAAAUUAAUAGAAAAAGAAUCAUGACAAGUAUAAGACUCUAAAAGGAGACGCCUACUCAGAAUUUUCAAACAUGAUGUAAAACAAAUAAGAUCAACAAAGGUGAGCAUUUAACAGCCAUUCAGAAUUUUCAGAGAUGAACAAUGAAAGUCAGGAGACAAGGAUGAACAUGGGAGCAAACUACUCAGGAAGAUCUUGAAGGUGAAACAUAGAAGACAAAUGAACUCGAACCAGUAACACUAAAGAAAACCAAAAGAACAAAAGGCAAGGAUGACUGCUCAGAACAUUUGAAGAUGAGAAUGUAGAAAACAAGUAAAAGCAAAGUAACUAAAACAAGAAAAACCUGUAAGAGCACAGCAUUAAUAACAGUUAGAGCACAGGAAACUUAGCUUUCUUGCUUGGACUUGCAACCCCCUAAAUUGUAACUCUUCCAGCAAAAGAAUAGCAGGCAAGGAUGACUACUCAGAAAAAUUUAAGAUGAGAAUGUAGAAAACAAUUAAAAUUUAAAGAAAACAAAGUAAUUAAAAUAAGAAAUACAUACAAAAGCACAAGCAUUAACAGCAGUUAGAGCACAUGACACUUAGCUUUUUGCUCGUGCAACCCUAAAAAUAGGGUUCUCAAAUUUCCAGAUCUCUGACCUCUAGUGAGAGGUCCUUUGGCCUCCUAAGGUCUUUGCCUCUCAUAAUGGAGAGGGAAAACAGGG